RNAcentral lists this ribosomal RNA (541 nucleotides) under uncultured Gallionellaceae bacterium. RNAcentral describes it as "bacterial SSU rRNA". It matches the Rfam family "Bacterial small subunit ribosomal RNA", at positions 135 to 671 of the family's 1533-position model. The record is from RNAcentral. Lineage: Bacteria; Pseudomonadati; Pseudomonadota; Betaproteobacteria; Nitrosomonadales; Gallionellaceae.
AGUGGGGGAUAACGUAGCGAAAGUUACGCUAAUACCGCAUAUGCCCUGAGGGGGAAAGGAGGGGAUCGUAAGACCUUUCGCUUUCGGAGUGGCCGAUAUCGGAUUAGCUAGUUGGUGAGGUAAAGGCUCACCAAGGCGACGAUCCGUAGCUGGUCUGAGAGGACGACCAGCCACACUGGAACUGAGACACGGUCCAGACUCCUACGGGAGGCAGCAGUGGGGAAUUUUGGACAAUGGGCGCAAGCCUGAUCCAGCCAUGCCGCGUGAGUGAAGAAGGCCUUCGGGUUGUAAAGCUCUUUCAGCCGGAAAGAAAUCCUACUCGUUAAUACCGAGUGGGGAUGACGGUACCGGAAGAAGAAGCACCGGCUAACUACGUGCCAGCAGCCGCGGUAAUACGUAGGGUGCGAGCGUUAAUCGGAAUUACUGGGCGUAAAGCGUGCGCAGGCGGUUUCGUAAGACAGAUGUGAAAUCCCCGGGCUUAACCUGGGAACUGCAUUUGUGACUGCGAGACUAGAGUGUAGCAGAGGGGGGUAGAAUUCCA